GACGAACGCCUGGCGGCGUCGCCUAACACAUGCAAGUUCGAACGGAGUCAAGAGGAGCUUUGCUUUUCUUGACUUAGUGGCGAACGGGUGAGUAACGCGUGAGUAACCUGCCCUGGAGUGGGGGACAACAGUUGGAAACGACUGCUAAUACCGCAUAAGCCCACGGCCCGGCAUCGGGCUGAGGGAAAAGGAUUUAUUCGCUUCAGGAUGGACUCGCGUCCAAUUAGCUAGUUGGUGAGGUAACGGCCCACCAAGGCGACGAUUGGUAGCCGGACUGAGAGGUUGAACGGCCACAUUGGGACUGAGACACGGCCCAGACUCCUACGGGAGGCAGCAGUGGGGGAUAUUGCACAAUGGGGGAAACCCCGAUGCAGCGACGCCGCGUGGAGGAAGAAGGUUUUCGGAUUGUAAACUCCUGUCGUUAGGGACGAUAAUGACGGUACCUAACAAGAAAGCACCGGCUAACUACGUGCCAGCAGCCGCGGUAAACGUAGGUGCAGCGUGUCCCNGGAAUACUGGUGUAAAAGGGAGCGCAGGCGACCGGCAGUUGGAAGUGAAACUAUNGGGCUCAACCCAUAAAUGCUUUCAAAAACUGCUGGCCUUGAGUAGUGCAGAGGUAGGUGGAAUUCCCGGUGUAGCGGUGGAAUGCGUAGAUAUCGGGAGGAACACCAGUGGCGAAGGCGACCUACUGGGCACCAACUGACGCUGAGGCUCGAAAGCAUGGGUAGCAAACAGGAUUAGAUACCCUGGUAGUCCAUGCCGUAAACGAUGAUUACUAGGUGUUGGAGGAUUGACCCCUUCAGUGCCGCAGUUAACACAAUAAGUAAUCCACCUGGGGAGUACGACCGCAAGGUUGAAACUCAAAGGAAUUGACGGGGGCCCGCACAAGCAGUGGAGUAUGUGGUUUAAUUCGAAGCAACGCGAAGAACCUUACCAGGUCUUGACAUCCGAUGCAUAGUGCAGAGAUGCAUGAAGUCCUUCGGGACAUCGAGACAGGUGGUGCAUGGUUGUCGUCAGCUCGUGUCGUGAGAUGUUGGGUUAAGUCCCGCAACGAGCGCAACCCUUAUUGCCAGUUACUACGUAAGAGGACUCUGGCGAGACUGCCGUUGACAAAACGGAGGAAGGUGGGGAUGACGUCAAAUCAUCAUGCCCUUUAUGACCUGGGCUACACACGUACUACAAUGGCGUUUAACAAAGAGAAGCAAGACCGCGAGGUGGAGCAAAACUCAAAAACAACGUCUCAGUUCAGAUUGCAGGCUGCAACUCGCCUGCAUGAAGUCGGAAUUGCUAGUAAUCGCGGAUCAGCAUGCCGCGGUGAAUACGUUCCCGGGCCUU
RNAcentral lists this ribosomal RNA (1335 nucleotides) under uncultured bacterium. RNAcentral's name for it is "bacterial SSU rRNA". It matches the Rfam family "Bacterial small subunit ribosomal RNA", at positions 28 to 1382 of the family's 1533-position model. The record is from RNAcentral.